CCUACGGGGUGCUGCAGUGAGGAAUAUUGGUCAAUGGGCGCGAGCCUGAACCAGCCAAGUAGCGUGAAGGAUGACUGCCCUACGGGUUGUAAACUUCUUUUAUAAAGGAAUAAAGUGAGGCACGUGUGCCUUUUUGUAUGUACUUUAUGAAUAAGGAUAGGCUAACUCCGUGCCAGCAGCCGCGGUAAUACGGAGGAUCCGAGCGUUAUCCGGAUUUAUUGGGUUUAAAGGGAGCGUAGAUGGGUUGUUAAGUCAGUUGUGAAAGUUUGCGGCUCAACCGUAAAAUUGCAAUUGAUAAUGGCAUUCUUGAGUACAGUUGAGGUAGGCGGAAUUCGUGGUGUAGCGGUGAACUUCUUAGAUAUCACGAAUAACUCCUAUUGCGAAGGCAGCUUACUAAACUGCCACUGACAUUGAUGCUCGAAAGUGUGGGUAUCAAACAGGAUUAGAUACCCCUGUAGUC
This 460-nucleotide ribosomal RNA is filed under the name uncultured bacterium. RNAcentral describes it as "partial 16S ribosomal RNA". It matches the Rfam family "Bacterial small subunit ribosomal RNA", at positions 338 to 795 of the family's 1533-position model. The record is from RNAcentral.